AUCCUUUAACACCUUGUAGAUGGAUUAGUGACUCCACACCGACAGCUUCACUUGCUGGUGUUUUGUUUUUAAAUAAAUUCACUUUGAAACAUUAAAAUAUAACUAUAGACGAAGUUUUAUAUAAGGUGAAAACUCAGGUGCAGUCGACUUCACCUUUACAUAGCAUUAACCAAGGCAUCAAGGUAAUUAUAGGAGGAACCACCUUCUUCCAAACACAAAUUUGCCUUCUCUUUCAAAUUCAAGACAUUUUCUCUAACCUCCUUUCCUUCAUCCCCAC
Molecule: non-coding RNA, 277 nt
Organism: Arachis ipaensis
Lineage: Eukaryota; Viridiplantae; Streptophyta; Magnoliopsida; Fabales; Fabaceae
Source: RefSeq, a predicted model, not a curated record